CGCCGACGAUUCGUCCACGGACGAUUGUGAUCGUCGACGAAAACCUCGACCCAGCGACAAGGGGAAAAUGGAAGACAUCGAUCGCAUGGGAGAAUUUUUCUAUUCCAACCAGAACCCAUAUAUCGCAUCAGGGCAUUUCUCCUUGGCGACCAAAAUCCAUCAAUCGCAUUGGCGGAUUUUUUCUUUAACACCCAUAACCCAUCGAAAUUCAUCUCGAAAC
RNAcentral lists this long non-coding RNA (220 nucleotides) under Physcomitrium patens. Its description in RNAcentral is "long non-coding RNA (PPAT_LNC012219)". The record is from RNAcentral. Lineage: Eukaryota; Viridiplantae; Streptophyta; Bryopsida; Funariales; Funariaceae.